CACGAGUGGCGAACGGGUGAGUAACACGUGGGUGACCUGCCCUGUACUUUGGGAUAAGCCUGGGAAACUGGGUCUAAUACCGAAUAUGACCUUCUCCUGCAUGGGGGUUGGUGGAAAGCUUUGCGGUACAGGAUGGGCCCGCGGCCUAUCAGCUUGUUGGUGGGGUAAUGGCCUACCAAGGCGACGACGGGUAGCCGGCCUGAGAGGGCGACCGGCCACACUGGGACUGAGACACGGCCCAG
RNAcentral lists this ribosomal RNA (242 nucleotides) under uncultured bacterium. RNAcentral's name for it is "partial 16S ribosomal RNA". It matches the Rfam family "Bacterial small subunit ribosomal RNA", at positions 90 to 334 of the family's 1533-position model. The record is from RNAcentral.